Molecule: ribosomal RNA, 382 nt
Filed under: Proctoporus cf. bolivianus Ca3
Lineage: Eukaryota; Metazoa; Chordata; Lepidosauria; Squamata; Gymnophthalmidae
Description: partial 12S ribosomal RNA
Rfam family: Bacterial small subunit ribosomal RNA
Source: RNAcentral
UUAAGCACCACUAAGACCCACUUCCGCCAGAAAAUUACGAGCGAAAGCCUAAAACUCAAAAGACUUGACGGUGUCCCAACCUUCCUAGAGGAGCCUGUUCCAUAAUCGACAACCCACGAUAUACCUAACCACCCUUAGAAAAUUUUAACCCCAGCCUAUAUACCGCCGUCAUUCAGCUUACCUUUUAAAAGAUUUAAGUAAGCUAAAUAGUAAUAUACUAACAAGUCAGGUCAAGGUGUAGCUUAUACGGUGGAGGAAAUGGGCUACAUUAUUUAUAUUAAAUUAUACGAACUUUAUACUUCUCCCUGAAAAAGAAAAUGAAGGUGGAUUUAGCAGUAAUUUAAACAAGAAUAUUUAAAUUAACACCAGCUCUGGGACAUGU